AGGACGAACGCUGGCGGCGUGCUUAACACAUGCAAGUGGAGCGACGAACCAGGGCUUGCCCUGGGGCAGAGCCGCGAACGGGUGAGUAACACGUGGGUUACCUGCCUCGAUGACCGGGACAACCCGAGGAAACUCGGGCUAAUACCGGAUGUGCCCGCAAGGGGAAAGGAAGCUUCGGCCUCCACAUCGAGAUGGGCCCGCGGCCCAUUAGCUUGUUGGUGAGGUAACGGCUCACCAAGGCUUCGAUGGGUAGCUGGUCUGAGAGGACGAUCAGCCACACUGGGACUGAGACACGGCCCAGACUCCUACGGGAGGCAGCAGUGGGGAAUCUUGCGCAAUGCGCGAAAGCGUGACGCAGCAACGCCGCGUGGGGGAAGAAGGCUUUCGGGUCGUAAACCCCUUUCAGUUGGGACGAAGCUUCGGCGGUGAAUAGCCGUUCGGAGUGACGGUACCUUCACAAGAAGCACCGGCUAACUACGCGCCAGCAGCCGCGGU
RNAcentral lists this ribosomal RNA (495 nucleotides) under uncultured bacterium. RNAcentral describes it as "SSU rRNA". It matches the Rfam family "Bacterial small subunit ribosomal RNA", at positions 26 to 521 of the family's 1533-position model. The record is from RNAcentral.